GAGCAAGACCGCGUGAGGGAGGAAGGCUCUUGGGUUGUAAACCUCUUUUCUCAGGGAAUAAGUUCUGAAGGUACCUGAGGAAUAAGCAUCGGCUAACUCCGUGCCAGCAGCCGCGGUAAUACGGAGGAUGCGAGCGUUAUCCGGAAUCAUUGGGCGUAAAGCGUCCGCAGGUGGAGUGGUAAGUCUGUUGUCAAAGAACGGGGCUUAACCCCGUAAAGGCGAUGGAAACUGCCACACUAGAGGCUGGUAGGGGUAAAGGGAAUUCCCAGUGUAGCGGUGAAAUGCGUAGAGAUUGGGAAGAACACCAGUGGCGAAAGCGCUCUACUGGACCAGAACUGACACUCAGGGACGAAAGCUAGGGGAGCGAAAGGGAUUAGAUACCCCUGUAGUCCUAGCCGUAAACGAUGGAUACUAGGCGUAGCCCGUAUCGACCCGAGCUGUGCCGAAGCUAACGCGUUAAGUAUCCCGCCUGGGGAGUACGCACGCAAGUGUGAAACUCAAAGGAAUUGACGGGGGCCCGCACAAGCGGUGGAGUAUGUGGUUUAAUUCGAUGCAACGCGAAGAACCUUACCAGGGCUUGACAUCUGGCGAAUCUCGAUGAAAGUUGGGAGUGCCUUAGGGAACGCCAAGACAGGUGGUGCAUGGCUGUCGUCAGCUCGUGUCGUGAGAUGUUGGGUUAAGUCCCGCAACGAGCGCAACCCUCGUCCUUAGUUGCCAGCAUUAAGUUGGGAACUCUAGGGAGACUGCCGGUGACAAACCGGAGGAAGGUGGGGAUGACGUCAAGUCAGCAUGCCCCUUACGCCCUGGGCUACACACGUACUACAAUGGUCGGGACAACGGGCAGCAAGCAGGCAACUGUAAGCGAAUCUCAUCAAACCCGGCCUCAGUUCAGAUUGCAGGCUGCAACUCGCCUGCAUGAAGGGGGAAUCGCUAGUAAUCGCAGGUCAGAAUACUGCGGUGAAUCCGUUCCCGGGCCUUGUACACGCCGCCCGUCACACCAUGGGAGCUGGCCACGCCCGAAGUCGUUACUCCAACCUGCAAAGGAGGAGGAUGCCGAAGGCAGGGCUAGUGACUGGGGUGAAGUCGUAACAAGGUAGCCGUACCGGAAGGUG
RNAcentral lists this ribosomal RNA (1112 nucleotides) under uncultured cyanobacterium. RNAcentral describes it as "bacterial SSU rRNA". It matches the Rfam family "Bacterial small subunit ribosomal RNA", at positions 389 to 1514 of the family's 1533-position model. Lineage: Bacteria; Bacillati; Cyanobacteriota. The record is from RNAcentral.